GCAGACCUGCUGCCCGCGGCCAGGCCGGGCAGCUGUUGAUCCCCGGGCCAUUCUUUUAAAGCCCAGGCAGAGCGCGGGUGGGAAGCGUGCGAGGAGAGCUGAGCCAGGGAGUUGCGGGGAGGAGAAGAAUUAGAGGAGACAGCACUGAUGGGAGUGACAGAAGCGGUGCCGGUUAACUCCCCACCAUCAAAAGUAUCUUCUGCUGUAGUCUGGCACAAGGCACAACAGAUUCCUGUAGUGAGCUGCAUGCAAGGAAGAAGCCUGGUAGGAGUGAAAGGUUAAUAGCCAAGAAAGAAAGAAGGAAGAAGAAAACAGCUCCCCGUACAGAGACAGAGGAAGGGGGGAUUUGAACAAAGAAAAAACCCCGUGUGCGUCGGAAAAGUGGCUGCUUAUACGUAUCCCAAAUCUAAAGGAAGUUUUUUUUUUUUUUGAGACGGAGUCUCGCUCUGUCCCCCAGGCCGGAGUGCAGUGGCGCAAUCUCUGCUCACUGCAAGCUCCGCCUUCCGGGUUCACGGCAUUCUCCUGCCUCAGCCUCCCGAAUAGCUGGGACCACAGGCACCCGCCACCACGCCCGGCUAAUUUUUUGUAUUUUUAGUAAAGACGGGGUUUCACCGUGUUAGCCAGGAUGGUCUUGAUCUCCUGACCUCGUGAUCCACCCACCUCGGCCUCCCAAAGUGCUGGGAUUACAGGCGUAAGCCACUGCACCCAGCCAAUCUAAAGGAAGUUUUAAAAGGUUACUUCCUUUUGAUUUCUGUUAAGAAAAGGGAGUGUUUAUGUGUUUGUUUCCAAAUAUUAUUUCUCAGCUGAAAAUCCAUUUUUUAAAACACUACCUUAAAAGUUCUUCUACCACUCCUGUGGAAAUAUAUGAGCCCAUCUUCAAGAAAUAACAGUUUGAAAUGUGAAAACUUAAGCUUUCCUUUAAGAAAGAGGAAUAUGAACUAGAACGGCAAUGAGGCUUCUGUGUUGUUGUUGUUUAUUUUUUGACUAGCCUUGAUUAAAAAGGGAACAAUUGUGUACUUCUGGUUAGCCUGGGGAAAGUUACAGCAGCCUAAAUUCAAAUCUCUGCAUAUAUCAACCAACAAGUAGAGCAAUACAACCACAUACAUGGCAAAAAAACUUCAAAUUACCUAUGAAUCGAAAAGGAGGCAACGAAUCUAUAGAGUUAUACCUCAAGUCCCUGACCUAAGCCUUUGCAGAGAAUGAGGGGAGACCCAUAGAAGGAUAAAGAAGAAAAGGAAAGACAGGGGUCAAAAUUGGAAAUAAAAUAACCCAAGAAAGAGAAAAGUCCAUCCUAUGUGUAAAAAGAGCUCUGGGAGAUUGGUAAAUGGGAGUACAGAGCAGGGCCUAAGAGUGAGUAGGGACAAAAACACUGAUGUUAGAAAGGCAUCAUUUCUGGAAAGAAAGGAGGAUAAAAAGGGGAGUGCAAGAAGGAAAAAGUAUCCAGCAGGAAAAAUGAGAACCCAAACCAAAAGACUAUCCAUCACUACUGCCAUCAUGCACAAAAAAAGAAAAAAGUUAUUCAUUGAAAAAAAUCACACUAUGCUACAUUUUCAGAAGAGGUUUGCACUUGGACUAGAAAACACAAAAUAAUUAAUAGAUGAAAAAAUGCCUAUAUAAAUAUCCAAAGCUUCUUUAAAAAGAUAACAAACAUGAAAGUCAAAUAUUUCAGCUAAUGAAAUCCACACCACUGAACGAUAAAAUCUCACAAAACAGAAGAAAAUUAUGCAGAAUUAAAAGUUGAACUAAAUAUCCUCAAACGAGCAUUCAGAAAUAUUAAAAAAGCAAUUUAAACAAGAAAUUCAAAAACCA
RNAcentral lists this long non-coding RNA (1809 nucleotides) under Homo sapiens (human). RNAcentral describes it as "non-protein coding lnc-NPSR1-4:3". Lineage: Eukaryota; Metazoa; Chordata; Mammalia; Primates; Hominidae. The record is from RNAcentral.